This 68-nucleotide transfer RNA is filed under the name Porticoccaceae bacterium. RNAcentral describes it as "tRNA-Ser". Lineage: Bacteria; Pseudomonadati; Pseudomonadota; Gammaproteobacteria; Cellvibrionales; Porticoccaceae. The record is from RNAcentral.
GGCGGCGACGGACGCUGGCAACGGGCCGCUAACCCGCGGGGCCGGUUCGAUUCCGGCCGCCACCACCA